GUGUAAUUUAUGAUAUUUUCUCCUGGGUUAGACUGGUAGUUGCUUUUGGAGGUGGAAAUGAAGGAUUGAAAACCUAAACCUAUUAGUUAGACUAUACCCCUCUUUUGAUUGUGUUUCGGGUAAAAAUCUACGAUACUGCUUUGCAUGAGAAAGAUUAAUUAAGUUGUCAUUAGGAUGCGUAAAGUAAUUUGUUUUGAAACCUUGUAAAAUAGGAAAUUUUGAAACAAAAAGAUAGGAAAUUUCUAGG
RNAcentral lists this unclassified non-coding RNA (247 nucleotides) under Hevea brasiliensis (rubber tree). The record is from RNAcentral. Lineage: Eukaryota; Viridiplantae; Streptophyta; Magnoliopsida; Malpighiales; Euphorbiaceae.